CCUACGGGCGGCAGCAGUGAGGAAUAUUGGUCAAUGGACGAGAGUCUGAACCAGCCAAGUAGCGUGAAGGAUGACUGCCCUAUGGGUUGUAAACUUCUUUUAUAAAGGAAUAAAACGAGGCACGUGUGCCUUUUUGCAUGUACUUUAUGAAUAAGGAUCGGCUAACUCCGUGCCAGCAGCCGCGGUAAUACGGAGGAUCCGAGCGUUAUCCGGAUUUGUUGGGUUUAAAGGGAGCGUAGAUGGGUUGUUAAGUCAGUUGUGAAAGUUUGCGGCUCAACCGUAAAAUUGCAAUUGAUACUGGCAGUCUUGAGUACAGUUGAGGUAGGCGGAAUUCGUGGUGUAGCGGUGAAAUGCUUAGAUAUCACGAAGAACCCCGAUUGCGAAGGCAGCUUACUAAACUGUGACUGACAUUGAUGCUCGAAAGUGUGGGUAUCAAACAGGAUUAGAUACCCUGGUAGUC
This 460-nucleotide ribosomal RNA is filed under the name uncultured bacterium. RNAcentral describes it as "partial 16S ribosomal RNA". It matches the Rfam family "Bacterial small subunit ribosomal RNA", at positions 338 to 795 of the family's 1533-position model. The record is from RNAcentral.